RNAcentral lists this long non-coding RNA (734 nucleotides) under Homo sapiens (human). RNAcentral describes it as "HSALNT0345024". The record is from RNAcentral. Lineage: Eukaryota; Metazoa; Chordata; Mammalia; Primates; Hominidae.
AAUUCCAAAGGCUAAGGAAAGCAUUGCGCAUGCGGGAAACCCACGCUGAGGGAAGAAUCAUGGGAAAGAGAGACGGGGUUCCACCGUGUUAGCCAGGAUGGUCUCGAUUUCCUGACCUCGUCAUCCUCCCGCCUUGGCCUCCCAAAGUGCUGGGAUUACAGGCUUGAGCCACCGCGCCCCGCUCUUUCGUGUUCCAAAGGCUUUUUAAAUAAACUUCCACUCCUGUCCUGGAUUCUGCUUUAUGGCCCUCAGUCGAAUUCUUUCUUCUGAGGAGGCAAGGACUGAAGUUGCUUCUGACCAGUACAGGAGAAAACGAAUACAGCAGGGAUGACUUCCACCAGCUCCACUUUGCAGCUCUGAGGUGUAUUAAAAAUGACCUGGAAGAAGUCAUGCCACGGGCCAGACCUUAACAUUCCUUUCGGCUUACCCCAGGAUUUCAGACAAAGCUUCACUUUCCUAACCAGUCACAAAUCAGAGAAUUUUUGAUUCCACCUAUGACCUGUGAGCUCCUGCUUCAAGAUAUUCCACCUUUUUUAGGCCAAACCAAUGUAUAACCUCCAAGUGUCGAUUUACACUUUCGACUGUAACUUCUGCUUUCCUGAGAUUUACCCCUGCCUUUAAAAACCCUUGCUUGUAAUCCCUCAGGGAGGCCGUGUAUUUAUUAAUCAUGAGCUGCCCAAUUCUCCUUGCUUGGUGCCCUGCAAAUAAACACCCUCUUUUCUCCCACUGCAAAA